AGCCAAGGCGAAGAAGGACAAAAGAGACGAGGACGAGCAGGACAACCCGACAGAUCAGAUGGUCAAGAACGAAUGCUGGCUGAUGCCAAACCCCCGUCGUUGCAAGGAUUAUGUGCCACGCUGGUUUUACGACACAACGUACUUGCUUUGCAAGCCCUAUCUCUACGGCGGCUGCGGGGGAAGGAAAGUUAACGCGUUUAGGACCUACGACGAGUGUAUGAAGCGCUGCACGUUCGAGGUUCCUGAAGUAGGAGGAAGGUCCGGAGGCCAGGCUGGUCCACAGGCCAGAUUCAAGCGAGAUAGGGCACGGAGAAUGACAUCCAGCUUGAACAUGCUUUUGACUUGUUGUUUUAAAGUCAGGUGUUUGUGUUGCAGGAGGUAUUAGGUUUUAAAUAAAGGGUGAGCGUUGGCCCUA
Molecule: long non-coding RNA, 415 nt
Organism: Rhipicephalus microplus (southern cattle tick)
Lineage: Eukaryota; Metazoa; Arthropoda; Arachnida; Ixodida; Ixodidae
Source: RefSeq, a predicted model, not a curated record